This 555-nucleotide ribosomal RNA is filed under the name Salmonella enterica. Its description in RNAcentral is "partial 23S ribosomal RNA". It matches the Rfam family "Bacterial large subunit ribosomal RNA", at positions 946 to 1503 of the family's 2925-position model. The record is from RNAcentral. Lineage: Bacteria; Pseudomonadati; Pseudomonadota; Gammaproteobacteria; Enterobacterales; Enterobacteriaceae.
GAUGCAAACUGCGAAUACCGGAGAAUGUUAUCACGGGAGACACACGGCGGGUGCUAACGUCCGUCGUGAAGAGGGAAACAACCCAGACCGCCAGCUAAGGUCCCAAAGUCAUGGUUAAGUGGGAAACGAUGUGGGAAGGCCCAGACAGCCAGGAUGUUGGCUUAGAAGCAGCCAUCAUUUAAAGAAAGCGUAAUAGCUCACUGGUCGAGUCGGCCUGCGCGGAAGAUGUAACGGGGCUAAACCAUGCACCGAAGCUGCGGCAGCGACGCUGAUGCGUUGUUGGGUAGGGGAGCGUUCUGUAAGCCUGCGAAGGUGGCCUGUGAGGGUUGCUGGAGGUAUCAGAAGUGCGAAUGCUGACAUAAGUAACGAUAAAGCGGGUGAAAAGCCCGCUCGCCGGAAGACCAAGGGUUCCUGUCCAACGUUAAUCGGGGCAGGGUGAGUCGACCCCUAAGGCGAGGCCGAAAGGCGUAGUCGAUGGGAAACGGGUUAAUAUUCCCGUACUUGGUGUUACUGCGAAGGGGGGACGGAGAAGGCUAUGUUGGCCGGGCGACGGUU